Long non-coding RNA from Ruditapes philippinarum (Manila clam), 893 nucleotides. RefSeq lists it as uncharacterized. The transcript is spliced from 3 exons. NCBI's taxonomy places the organism in Eukaryota, Metazoa, Mollusca, Bivalvia, Venerida, Veneridae. The record is from RefSeq and is a predicted model, not a curated record.
UCAAAACUUUAUUGUCAGAGUCACAGUUUACAAUAUGCAAAAACAUGUGAACAUAUACAAUCAUUAAGUUAGCAGCAGUAGUACACGUAACAAAAAUAUAAUCUUGUCAAAAACAUUUUACAAAACUAAUGCUCUAAGUAUGGAGGGGAAGUGAUUGGACUACAUUUUUUUACUAUUUAAAAUAUAAAGCAAAUUAACAGGUUGUAACAGGUACAAUAAUACGAACAGCAGAGAAAGAAACAAGAUUAAUACGGAUUUCUUAAGCUGACACAUAUAAUGAAUAUUAGUUUAUGCUUGUUUAUAUAUGUAAAAAACAAAACAAAAACAAACAAAAAAAAAACAAUAAAGAACGAGGGCACAAUUUAAAAGAUUUAUAAGAUGCGCUUAUGACUACACGCCCUAUAGUAAAAUAAUCAGUAGACUGACGUAAUUUUACCUGGCAGAUCUAUAAUUAGACUGGUGUAGACCAGUCAUCCAGGUGUGACGCAUUUCUUAACUCUAUAUUUGAUUUGACAUUGCUAUACUCAUGUGGAGACAUUGUAAUCUAACGGGACUUGCAGUCGAGCAGCACUUUUAAAACGUGCAAGACAGGCGAACCUGAAACACGACGAAAGUAUAUUAGGGUGAUGGAAUAGAUGACGUGGGAUGUACUUAUGUCUAUCCUCAUUGAAAUAUGGACAUUUUAAAAGGUAGUGCAGUUCAUCACCAAUUUCCUGGAGCGAACACAGAUGGCAAAUGCGCUGCUCGUGGACAACAUAAGACUGUCUCCAGCGUCCUACCUCUACUGGAAGCCUAUGGUUCCCUGUUCUGAAGAGGAAGAGGCUAGUCCUUAAAGUACACGAAUGUGACCAUUCUUGAUUUGACAGUAACCUCUAUUGGAUACCUCCCAAAUU